Molecule: ribosomal RNA, 499 nt
Filed under: uncultured Glomeromycotina
Lineage: Eukaryota; Fungi; Glomeromycota
Description: partial small subunit ribosomal RNA
Rfam family: Eukaryotic small subunit ribosomal RNA
Source: RNAcentral
CCAAUAGCGUAUAUUAAAGUUGUUGCAGUUAAAAAGCUCGUAGUUGAAUUUCGGGAUCAAGGAAUCGGUCAUGCCUUGGUAUGUACUGGUUUUAUUGGUUCUCACCUUCUAGAGAACCAUAAUGUCAUUCAUUUGAUGUUAUGGGGAAUUAGGACUGUUACCUUGAAAAAAUUAGAGUGUUUAAAGCAGGCUCGCGCUUGAAUACAUUAGCAUGGAAUAAUGAAAUAGGACGUUUGAUUCUAUUUUGUUGGUUUCUAGGAUCGACGUAAUGAUUAAUAGGGAUAGUUGGGGGCAUUAGUAUUCAACUGUCAGAGGUGAAAUUCUUGGAUUUAUUGAAGACUAACUACUGCGAAAGCAUUUGCCAAGGAUGUUUUCAUUAAUCAAGAACGAAAGUUAGGGGAUCGAAGACGAUCAGAUACCGUCGUAGUCUUAACCAUAAACUAUGCCGACUAGGGAUCGGAUGAUGUUAAUUUUUUAAUGACUCAUUCGGCGCCUUACG